Cyprinus carpio carpio is the source of this 338-nucleotide long non-coding RNA. The record is from Ensembl. Lineage: Eukaryota; Metazoa; Chordata; Actinopteri; Cypriniformes; Cyprinidae.
CACACAGACACAUGGGUCAGAUUAUUCUACUGUGUAAUGAGUGCUUAAUGACUCUGAAAAUUAUUUAUUUUGUUGAUUAUAAUUUUACUUCAAGUUUUUGUGUGUUUUUACUCUCCAGGGGCCCAUGUUCCAUAGAAUUGGCCCUGCUUCUGAAGUGUCUGAAAAUCAUUCGUUUUAAUGAAGAUUUGAGGCUUCCGUCAGCAAGAACAGAGCUCAACAUUAUCCAAAUGAGCAGUGACAUGAUGUGUCAACUACCAUUGAGAGUACAGGGGGUAAGAUUGUUAUCCUGCUGGGUGAAGAUCUCAGCCAGGACUGGCAUCGCUUCCCAUCUUUUCUGA